Triticum aestivum (bread wheat) is the source of this 3339-nucleotide long non-coding RNA. RefSeq lists it as uncharacterized. The record is from RefSeq and is a predicted model, not a curated record. NCBI's taxonomy places the organism in Eukaryota, Viridiplantae, Streptophyta, Magnoliopsida, Poales, Poaceae. The transcript has 4 exons.
AGCCGUCGCCCGCCCCCGCGUCCCCCCGAGCCCCCCUUGCCGCCACCACCCCUUCCUUCUGCCCCGUGCCGGAUCCGCCUGCCGCCGCCACCGCCGCCGCUCUCCUCUGCCCCAUGCCGGACCCUACCUCCUGUCCUCUUCUUCCUCCCGCUACCCUCAUCCCUUCUUACCGCCGCCGAGUCCUCUCCUCUCCCCGUCGGCGCGAGUGCGUGGGUCGCGGCGUGCGGAGAGCGAGGAGGAGAGGACAGACGCGUGAGGAAGAGGAGGCCACGGCCGUCGGCUCCUCUCCCCGUUGACUCCUCUCCUCUCCCCGUCGGCGCCAGCACGCUGGUCGUGCCUCUCCCCGUUGGCUCCUCUCCUCUCCCCGCCGGCGCCAGUGCGCUGGUCGUGAGGCGUGAGGAGCGUACGGCCCGUUGCAGCCGCCGUGGGGCGUGGUUGCGGAUCAGCGCAGGUCACCGCCGUGGGAGAGGUGUGUCGUGGUUCCGGAUUGGCGCAGGUCGUCGCCGCCGAAGAGAAAGGGUGGCCUGGUCUUGUGGUGCUUGUGGAGGAGCAGGGGUGGCCCUUCUCCUACAUCACCACAUCAAGUAGGAGGAGGAGGUCCUCGUCAUCCAUCACAACCGUCAGGGGCUUGCUGACACUGGAUCCAGUGGGGAGGAGAUCCUUUAGGCAUUUGAUUCUUGUGGGAUUCCCACGCAUCUUGCAAGAUAAACAUGCCAUUGUUUUUCACGCACACAUAUGCUUUGAUUUCUGAAUCAGGGCCGGAUAGUAAACUGCACCAUUCUAUAUUACGUUCCUAACCAAAGAUAUAUUGUUUGCUGAUACACUGGUCUUUAUUUGUUAGUUUUUACAGAAUAAAUGUAUCGUGGAUAACUAGCUUUGGGGCAUAUCCCUGCUAUCCUUUCAAAGAAAAACAUUGGUUUAAGUCUACACUUUAUUACGCAGAUGUAGCUUAACACCUUCAAAUUAUUAAUGUGUUCUCACUUUUCUUUAGGUGAUGGAUCAUCCUGAAAAACAGGUUGAGUGCAUCAGCUACUUCCAUGGCAAUGGAUUUAAGGAAUGCAAAUCAACGAGGCACAUUAUCUAACUCGUAUAAACUUAUCAUUGUUUUUACCUUUUCAUGCAGUUUUCCUUUACGAUUAUAGAUGACAUCUUAGCAGAAAGAAUAUAGUUGUGAAAUUUACUGCAAAUGUAAGCCUUGGAGUUUCAUAUUCACCUUGAAGUAUUCUUGAAAUGAAAGAUAGGCUUUGUUGGUUCCUCAGUUUGGAGAACUAGAGUUAUGGCGAUACAUAUUUGGGUAUUGAAACUAUCUGUGUUUGUGAUCAGCUCAUUUUUGUGUUGGAUGCUUAUUUAGCUAGCAGAGACGGCGCCAUCUCCGGCCGCCGGCGCUCUGCAGUGAUGCCUAAAACUGAGUUGUUGUUUAGGCCUCCUACGGUUCGUAGAUAGGAAUAUCAUCCUGUAGGGAAAGAGACUUCAUUUGAUGCAUAUAUAUAUACUAUGCUGCAUACUUUGUAGAUUUGUAUGGUUCCUAAAUAUACGACAGUGUUUGAUUAAUUUUUGUUCCAGAAAGGAGUAUCUAUCCUGUUUAUAAGGAUCCAUAUUGCAGGAUAUCAAAAUUAGUCAUUACUCAAUGCAGCCAUAUAGAUGACUGCAAAGCAAAAUUUUCAUAUCCUAAACUAUGAUUAAUACAUAGUUAUGAGCAUUUUUUCCUGUUUUACCACAGAUUGCCAUGGUCCAUGUGUUGAAAUCUGAAAUUUUUGAAUAUAUACUACUGGGUUAGUUUUAUUGCGGUAGGAUUAACUGAAGCAUAACUUAAAUGUGGCAUGUCAUUGUAAGAAGAAUCAGCUUUUGAUUAGUAUUUUGAAAUAGGAUAAAAUGAUUCAUCCAUUGAACGCGAAGAGUUCCUACCGGUAUUUGUUGGAUGACGACAAAAAAUAACUUGGGCCGUUCUAGCCCUGUUCCAAACUUCACUCGUAGAGGGUUGAGGGCGGGUGGCAGACGUCCAACCUAGAGCGCUUCAUGUACUGCACCAUCCUGGACGUCAAGGCCCACAUUCUUCUGAGGUGACACUAUUGCACCUCUCAAACCUGGCACCUUAAAUGCUUUGUCGUGUUCAAUUUUCACUGUUGCACCUCUCAAACCUGGCACCUUAAAUGCUUUGUCGUGUUCAAUUUUGCUCAAGAGUUCUGACAGUUUAAGGAUCUGUCAUUGCUUGUAUCUGUUGUGCGUGACAUGACCUUCUAAUUACCGAAUUAGUGCUCAUUGUUCGAUCAUAGACAUGAAAUGUUGAAUAAUGGUAUAGUAUACAUGUAAUGUGUCCGCUCUAUUUCCCUCUUCUCUAUUUUAAGAAUUUUUUUUGCUGCCUGCAGAGAACGAAAUUUGUUUUCUGCUGACACUAUGCAUACUGCCUAAUAAAUACACACACCUGUUGAUCCCCUGUUUUCUUGCUGUUUGACAAAUAGUACAAGCAAAGCAAGUUCAGGUGCUAUUCUAUUUAGAAAUAGCUACACAACACAUAUCAUUUAGUUACUAUGAUCAUUGUGUGUCUCGCUAGAAAUUAAUACACAUACAGGCACAUAUAGAAUCAUAAACCGCACUUACUCCCAGUAUCUUCUUCCCUACGAGGUCGGAGGCGAGCUUCCUGGCGACGGCGGCGGCGCUGGAUUUUCUCAUGGGUUGGUGGUGUAUCUACCGCUGACCUCCGGCACAGAUACACCGACCUCCGGGGCCCCAGCCCCUCCGCCCCCGGCCUCACCUUUCCCGUGUCCGCCCUCGCCGAGCAUUGAAUCUGCCGGCCACCAGACUCAAUGAUGGUUGAUCUUGUUAGCUACAGAUGAUAUUCCCUGUUUCGAACAAGAUUGAAUUUUGAUGGACUGCAUAUAGUGUUUGAUUCUCCUACACCGUGCCCUGAAUGAUCUUAUGUUCACCCAGACUUAUAGGUUUCUAAAUACUAGGCUCAUGGGACUUAAUUCUAAUGGUAACAGUCCCGAAAAGAAAGAGGACUAUGGACCUGAGUGGGAAUGGAGGCAGGAUAUUCUUCUGGAUGGCUAUGUUGAGGUGGUGGUUGGUCCGAUCCAUGGUGUACGCAAAAUCGGUCAGCAUGGUGGAGUUGUGCUGUGGGGAGGACACUGGUUUGGAGAUCUAGGCGACUAUCUGCGUGCUGGGUGGAUCAGUAGCCCACCUCGGGAUAGAGGCAAGCGGCGCUUCACGUGUGCCUCGCCAUGCCACAACAGUGGCGUUGACAAUGUUUAAUCCUAAGACCACUAUUUUUGUGUCUAUAUGCAGUGUUCACUUUGUCUAUAUCUUGGCAAUGUUUAAUCAUAAAACCACUAAUUCUGUGUC